This 776-nucleotide ribosomal RNA is filed under the name uncultured Neocallimastigales. RNAcentral's name for it is "partial large subunit ribosomal RNA". It matches the Rfam family "Eukaryotic large subunit ribosomal RNA", at positions 24 to 626 of the family's 3401-position model. The record is from RNAcentral. Lineage: Eukaryota; Fungi; Neocallimastigomycota; Neocallimastigomycetes; Neocallimastigales.
UAUCUCUGUAGAGUCUGCAUAUCAAUAAGCGGAGGAAAAGAAACUAACAAGGAUUCCCUUAGUAACGGCGAGUGAAGCGGGAAGAGCUCAAAUUUGAAAUCUUCAAGGUUUUACCUUGACGAAUUGUAGUUUAAAGAAGUGUUUUCUGCUGAAGUUUUGGUAAAAGUUCUUUGGAAUAGGACAUCAUAGAGGGUGAGAAUCCCGUAUUUGACCAGUUAUUUUCAGCUGUGUGAUACACUUUCAAAGAGUCGGAUUGUUUGGGAAUGCAGUCCAAAAUGGGAGGUAAAUUUCAUCUAAAGCUAAAUAUUGGCGAGAGACCGAUAGCGAACAAGUACCGUGAGGGAAAGAUGAAAAGAACUCUUGAAAAGAGAGUUAAACAGUACGUGAAAUUGUCAAAAGGGAAGCGUUUGACACCAGUGUUGUUUUCUCGAAAAUCAAUUAAAAAUGGCUCGAUUUUGUAUUGCUGAGACCUUAAAAGCUCACUGUACAUUUUUCGUGUCUUUUUUAAUGCACUUUUCGUUUAACAAGUCAACAUCAGUCUCUUUUGUUGUAAAAGGGUCAUUGGAAGGUGGCUUUCUUUUCGGAGAAAGUGUUUAUAGCCUUUGGCCUCUGCAAUCGAAGAGACUGAGGUCUGCAGCGUAGACUCUUCGGGGUUAGAUACAUUAGUGCUAAGUUAUAGCUUUUUAUAGACAACUUGUUGACUAUAAUUAGUCUUGUAGCUUACUCGCUUAUGCUAUUUUACCUACGCUUAGGAUGUUGAUGUGAUACUGCGAGCA